CCGAUUCUUAACUGGUCAAUUAAGCUUCCAGAAAAUUUAUAUGACCUCAGUAACACUGCAUCAGACGGCUCAUUCCAUUACUUCUCAAAUCCAACUACUGGACAAUUCAUGUGUUUAAUACAUACAGCAAAGAAUUUUGAAAUUUAUAAUUUAAAAGUUAAGAAAGGAAGUUCCUCAUUUGACAAAUGGAUUGACAUUGCAACCGUUUGGCUAUCUCACUUUACGAAAACAUCAUUGAAUGCAAAAGCUAUAUGGGCGCUCUUUAACAGAAGACAAAAAAAAAUUAAGGAAUUGCAAAAGUGCUUCAAUGCCAGAAAUGAUUCAAAAGUUAAAGAAAAACUUAUACGUUUUCUUCAUGAUAAACUUAUUCUGCCGGGAGAAAAGAAAGAAUCAUUUCAAAAUGAAAUAACUAAUGCUACAACAGAUCUAGACACAUCUUCUACCUGUGCAAACAUUAAUGUGACGUACAAUGAU
RNAcentral lists this long non-coding RNA (474 nucleotides) under Mytilus galloprovincialis (Mediterranean mussel). The record is from RNAcentral. Lineage: Eukaryota; Metazoa; Mollusca; Bivalvia; Mytilida; Mytilidae.